ACUACGGGCGGCAGCAGUGAGGAAUAUUGGUCAAUGGGUGGAAGCCUGAACCAGCCAAGUAGCGUGCAGGAUGACGGCCCUACGGGUUGUAAACUGCUUUUAUACGGGAAUAACGCGCCUUACGUGUAGGGCUUUGCAUGUACCGUAUGAAUAAGGACCGGCUAAUUCCGUGCCAGCAGCCGCGGUAAUACGGAAGGUCCGGGCGUUAUCCGGAUUUAUUGGGUUUAAAGGGAGCGUAGGCCGCAUGUCAAGCGUGCUGUGAAAUGUCCGGGCUCAACCCGGGCCUUGCAGCGCGAACUGGCGUGCUUGAGUCCGCGGAAGGCAGGCGGAAUUCGUGGUGUAGCGGUGAAAUGCUUAGAUAUGACGAAGAACCCCGAUUGCGAAGGCAGCUUGCUGCAGCGGAACUGACGCUGAUGCUCGAAAGCGCGGGUAUCGAACAGGAUUAGAUACCCGAGUAGUC
This 460-nucleotide ribosomal RNA is filed under the name uncultured bacterium. RNAcentral describes it as "partial 16S ribosomal RNA". It matches the Rfam family "Bacterial small subunit ribosomal RNA", at positions 338 to 795 of the family's 1533-position model. The record is from RNAcentral.